AUAAAAUUAAAGGGCUGCAGUAAUUUGACUGUACAAAGGUAGCAUAAUCAUUAGUCAUUUAAUUGAUGACUUGUAUGAAAGAUUGGAUGAAAUAUAGACUGUCUCUUAAUUAUAUAAUAGAAUUUAAUUUUUUAAUUAAAAAGUUAAAAUAAUUUAGAAAGACGAGAAGACCCUAUAGAGUUUUAUAAUUUUUUUAUUUAAAAUUUUUUGAUUUAUAUAAAAUUAAUAUUAAAAAAAUUAUUUUGUUGGGGUGACAGAAAAAUAAAUAAAACUUUUUUUAUAAUUAAACAUAUAUAAGUGAGUAUUUGAUCCAAUAAUAUUGAUUAUAAGAAAAAAUUACCUUAGGGAUAACAGCGUAAUUUUUUUUUUUAGUUCAUAUAAAAAAAAGAGUUUGCGACCUCGAUGUUGGAUUAAGAUAAAAUUUAAAUGCAGAAG
RNAcentral lists this ribosomal RNA (435 nucleotides) under Mythimna pudorina. RNAcentral's name for it is "partial 16S large subunit ribosomal RNA". The record is from RNAcentral. Lineage: Eukaryota; Metazoa; Arthropoda; Insecta; Lepidoptera; Noctuidae.